AGAGAUAGAAUACAUUUAUAAGGUCGGCAACCUAUACGGCUACUCUAGAGCUACCUUACGAAGCUUGUAUCAGAAGGUGAAACGGUCCGUAGAGAAUGAAGGCACUGCACGUGGAGGUGACAACAAUGCCAAAUAUGAAGCCGUCCCCUAUGCGAUGAGAGGAUCCAGGGUAGUCAAAGGCGUAGUGAAAAACGCGGAUAAAAGGACCGCAUAUAGGCGAUACCCCACUCUAUAUAACUGGCUCCGAAAUGAAAAAGAUCAAAUCCAACCAGCAGAUAGGUCGGGAGUGUAUAAGAUACCGGUGUUCGAUAAUGCCACAGGUGACGAAGCCGUCUAUGUAGGAGUCACUGCCAGGACACUUGACCAGC
RNAcentral lists this long non-coding RNA (368 nucleotides) under Androctonus crassicauda. The record is from RNAcentral. Lineage: Eukaryota; Metazoa; Arthropoda; Arachnida; Scorpiones; Buthidae.